Molecule: long non-coding RNA, 10618 nt
Organism: Salvia splendens (bonfire salvia)
Lineage: Eukaryota; Viridiplantae; Streptophyta; Magnoliopsida; Lamiales; Lamiaceae
Exons: 8
Source: RefSeq, a predicted model, not a curated record
GACGAAUAAGAAAUAAAUGAUAUGAUCUGAACAUGUGUGCCCCUAUAUGGAUUACAUGUGUACUUCGAAUCGGGCAAUAUGAGAUAUGACGUGAUGUGAUGGAAAUAUGAACUGAAUAAUCGUGCAAGACAAUAAAUUAUAUGAUUGGAAAUGUGAACUCCGUGAGAAUUAUGUGUGCGCUCGAAUACGAGCUAUAUAAAUGUUAGAACCGAAUGAUGAUUCAGAAAUGAAAUGGAAAAUGGGAAUGUAUGCUCUAAGCGAGCUGUAUAGUAUAUGAUAAGAUAUGUCUAAAAAUAUGAGUUUGAAAUUGAGCUAUAUGAUAUAAAAUGGUAUUCUGGUUGAAAGUGUUGUCUGUGAUCUGUAAAUGUGUUAGUUAUGGAUAAGAAUGAGUUUUGAAAAUAAAUAUGGUUGUUGAUGAAUACUGACUUGAUAUUUGAAUUAUGUUGUGAUUUGGUGGUUUGAUUUGAUAAUCUGUGAUUAACAUUGUAUCUUGUUGGUUUUGGGGAAGCACUGGUUAUAGAGAAAACGCUGCCCAAUUUUUGCUAGAAAUUGAUCAGAUAAAUUAAUACGAAGUUGUGGUAAAUAAACUGAUAAGUGAUAAUACAUGAAGAGAAUGAUGUUACAUGAUGACUUAAGAAAGGAAAAAGGGAAAAGAUAAGAAGUGUUGUGAAUGAUAAUAAAGGAAAACGUAAUGAAAUGAUGAUAUGUGGAAAGUGAAAUGCACCCUUCGUCGGCUAUAAGUGCCCGAAUAGGGACUAUGCAAUUGGGACUAUACAAUAUAUGAUGAGUAUGUGAAAUAUACAUAUGCGUGAUGAAUAUGAUAUGUGCGCCUCAUGUGGACAAAGAAAAGAUGCAAAUAACAUGGAAAUUACUAUGUAAAGAAAUGAUAAUGUGACAAAUGUGCUUGAAAUAUAUUAGAGAUAAUGAUAAUAUUAUUAUGUGAUCGCAAAAUGUUGCUAUGUGUUAAGAUGUGAUUAUGUGAUUUUGUAUGUCAUUCUGUGUUUGGUUAUGGAAGUGAGGAUACGCUAUGUAGAUGAGGAUAUAGGAUGUCGUGGAAUGGCAUACGUAUAUGCGACGCUUAUAGGAAUGAUGUAAACCCGAGGGAAUUUCGAGGACGAAAUUCCUUUUAGGGGGGAUGAGUUGUAACAUCCCGAAUUAUAGGCACCAAUAAAAGGUUUGGAUAUGUGGUGAGGAAUAGUAGUUAAGUUAAACCGUAAGGUAUAAAUUUGAUACGAAAUGCCGAUUAGUCAAUUUUCGGAAAUUUCUUUUGUCCGUGUAAAAUCAUAAAUCGAAGCUAAGGGGUAAUAAUUUUAUAAAUUACAAAUUAUGGCCUAGAAUAAUUGUUGAUAAUGUGAGGAAUUGUUUUGGGCCAUUUGAAGGUAAUUAAAAAAAUUUCUAUCGCCGAUAAUUUCAGUUUUUAACGAAAACGAUCGGCGAAACUUUUGAAGAUAUAGACAGGAAUAAUUUUGCCUUGAACUAGAAUUUAAAUGCUAAAUGAUGAUAUAAAGAGUUCCUAAAUGUGAUAUCAUAUGAUAGGGCAAUAAAAUGUUACAAGAUAAUUAAUUUAUUUAAAAACUAACUAAAUAAUUAAAUAAUGAUUAGAAUUCUCUAGAGAAUUCUUUUGUCUAUCAUCAACUCCAAGCCCCCCCUCAUUUCAGCCACAAGCACGUCCUCCCCCUCUCCAUGGAAGACCAAAAGCUUAAGCUUUUUAAUUUCCAAAUAUUUGUCAUUUAAUCGGUAAAUCGAUCGGGUAAUCUUGUAUCCGCCAGCAAAUCGAGCGAAGGAGCAUAUAGUGCGUUUUGAUCACAAAGGAGUGGAUUUAGAGGGUAGAGAAGUAUCAAGGUGAAAUAGGCUUAUGUUCAUAAGCCUGCGAGGUUAGAGUCGACAUUAUGUCAGUGGUGUUGCGCAGCUUUGCAUCUUUGGCGAGUCACUGGUGGUCAACUUGGUUUAGUAGUCGUGGCAUGUUAUGUAAUAGUUUAAUCUUUAACCUUCCGCUGGAUAAAUGUUAAGUUUUUAAAUGUAAUAGAUUUUAAUUAUGCUUUUAAGCUAAAAAGAAAAAGGAAAAAUUUCAGCACGGGUUUUCGAUACUGAAACGUGACAUCACUUAUUCGGUGGGUUACCUACCGGGUAAGGGGUGUUACAAGUUUUGGUAUCAGAGCCUAGGUUUAGGCGGUUCUGGAAAGAAGUGAUUCAGUAAAGUGUGUAGAAACAUGCCACAUAGGUUUAAUUGUCUGUUAGUACCAGUGACUCGAUGCAGCUGCUUAUGUCUAAAGUGGAAAGAAGUUAACAAGGUACGGGACAUAGUUUCCCGUGUGACCGAGAAAGAUGUUAUAUGGGACUGGCCACCCCAUAUAGCUCUAAUCUCGGUAGCGUCGGUAUGUGUAAAAGAUUUAAAAAAAAAAUUCAGGGAGGAUGGGUCUGAAAAUGUUGAUGAAAAGUAUGUCCUAAUGAAAGAUACUAAUAAAUAUAUGCAGAUUAUGAAAGAGUAUAAGUAAAAGAGAAGAAAAUGAGUUAAAGGAAUGAUAUGGAAAGAAAGUAAGUUAUAGACUAAGUGACCAUCAUGAUAUAAAAGUGUAACACGAAAAUUCACAAAGGUAUGUGGAUUGUCUGAUAUAAGAUGGAUUAAGAGUCAUAAAGUAAUAUCCUAUAAUGAUAAACAAAAGUAUAGAAAUAUGUGAAAGGAAAUGUGUUUGGCAAAAUGAUAAAUAUUGAUAUGAAAACAUAUGAAACUAUAAGGCAUUAUAUGAAUAAAACCAUAAAUGUGCGAAUGAGAAAAUGCGACGAAUAAGAAAUAAAUGAUAUGAUCUGAACAUGUGUGCCCCUAUAUGGAUUACAUGUGUACUUCGAAUCGGGCAAUAUGAGAUAUGACGUGAUGUGAUGGAAAUAUGAACUGAAUAAUCGUGCAAGACAAUAAAUUAUAUGAUUGGAAAUGUGAACUCCGUGAGAAUUAUGUGUGCGCUCGAAUACGAGCUAUAUAAAUGUUAGAACCGAAUGAUGAUUCAGAAAUGAAAUGGAAAAUGGGAAUGUAUGCUCUAAGCGAGCUGUAUAGUAUAUGAUAAGAUAUGUCUAAAAAUAUGAGUUUGAAAUUGAGCUAUAUGAUAUAAAAUGGUAUUCUGGUUGAAAGUGUUGUCUGUGAUCUGUAAAUGUGUUAGUUAUGGAUAAGAAUGAGUUUUGAAAAUAAAUAUGGUUGUUGAUGAAUACUGACUUGAUAUUUGAAUUAUGUUGUGAUUUGGUGGUUUGAUUUGAUAAUCUGUGAUUAACAUUGUAUCUUGUUGGUUUUGGGGAAGCACUGGUUAUAGAGAAAACGCUGCCCAAUUUUUGCUAGAAAUUGAUCAGAUAAAUUAAUACGAAGUUGUGGUAAAUAAACUGAUAAGUGAUAAUACAUGAAGAGAAUGAUGUUACAUGAUGACUUAAGAAAGGAAAAAGGGAAAAGAUAAGAAGUGUUGUGAAUGAUAAUAAAGGAAAACGUAAUGAAAUGAUGAUAUGUGGAAAGUGAAAUGCACCCUUCGUCGGCUAUAAGUGCCCGAAUAGGGACUAUGCAAUUGGGACUAUACAAUAUAUGAUGAGUAUGUGAAAUAUACAUAUGCGUGAUGAAUAUGAUAUGUGCGCCUCAUGUGGACAAAGAAAAGAUGCAAAUAACAUGGAAAUUACUAUGUAAAGAAAUGAUAAUGUGACAAAUGUGCUUGAAAUAUAUUAGAGAUAAUGAUAAUAUUAUUAUGUGAUCGCAAAAUGUUGCUAUGUGUUAAGAUGUGAUUAUGUGAUUUUGUAUGUCAUUCUGUGUUUGGUUAUGGAAGUGAGGAUACGCUAUGUAGAUGAGGAUAUAGGAUGUCGUGGAAUGGCAUACGUAUAUGCGACGCUUAUAGGAAUGAUGUAAACCCGAGGGAAUUUCGAGGACGAAAUUCCUUUUAGGGGGGAUGAGUUGUAACAUCCCGAAUUAUAGGCACCAAUAAAAGGUUUGGAUAUGUGGUGAGGAAUAGUAGUUAAGUUAAACCGUAAGGUAUAAAUUUGAUACGAAAUGCCGAUUAGUCAAUUUUCGGAAAUUUCUUUUGUCCGUGUAAAAUCAUAAAUCGAAGCUAAGGGGUAAUAAUUUUAUAAAUUACAAAUUAUGGCCUAGAAUAAUUGUUGAUAAUGUGAGGAAUUGUUUUGGGCCAUUUGAAGGUAAUUAAAAAAAUUUCUAUCGCCGAUAAUUUCAGUUUUUAACGAAAACGAUCGGCGAAACUUUUGAAGAUAUAGACAGGAAUAAUUUUGCCUUGAACUAGAAUUUAAAUGCUAAAUGAUGAUAUAAAGAGUUCCUAAAUGUGAUAUCAUAUGAUAGGGCAAUAAAAUGUUACAAGAUAAUUAAUUUAUUUAAAAACUAACUAAAUAAUUAAAUAAUGAUUAGAAUUCUCUAGAGAAUUCUUUUGUCUAUCAUCAACUCCAAACCCCCCCUCAUUUCAGCCACAAGCACGUCCUCCCCCUCUCCAUGGAAGACCAAAAGCUUAAGCUUUUUAAUUUCCAAAUAUUUGUCAUUUAAUCGGUAAAUCGAUCGGGGUAAUCUUGUAUCCGCCAGCAAAUCGAGCGAAGGAGCAUAUAGUGCGUUUUGAUCACAAAGGAGUGGAUUUAGAGGGUAGAGAAGUAUCAAGGUGAAAUAGGCUUAUGUUCAUAAGCCUGCGAGGUUAGAGUCGACAUUAUGUCAGUGGUGUUGCGCAGCUUUGCAUCUUUGGCGAGUCACUGGUGGUCAACUUGGUUUAGUAGUCGUGGCAUGUUAUGUAAUAGUUUAAUCUUUAACCUUCCGCUGGAUAAAUGUUAAGUUUUUAAAUGUAAUAGAUUUUAAUUAUGCUUUUAAGCUAAAAAGAAAAAGGAAAAAUUUCAGCACGGGUUUUCGAUACUGAAACGUGACAUCACUUAUUCGGUGGGUUACCUACCGGGUAAGGGGUGUUACAAGUUUUGGUAUCAGAGCCUAGGUUUAGGCGGUUCUGGAAAGAAGUGAUUCAGUAAAGUGUGUAGAAACAUGCCACAUAGGUUUAAUUGUCUGUUAGUACCAGUGACUCGAUGCAGCUGCUUAUGUCUAAAGUGGAAAGAAGUUAACAAGGUACGGGACAUAGUUUCCCGUGUGACCGAGAAAGAUGUUAUAUGGGACUGGCCACCCCAUAUAGCUCUAAUCUCGGUAGCGUCGGUAUGUGUAAAAGAUUUAAAAAAAAAAUUCAGGGAGGAUGGGUCUGAAAAUGUUGAUGAAAAGUAUGUCCUAAUGAAAGAUACUAAUAAAUAUAUGCAGAUUAUGAAAGAGUAUAAGUAAAAGAGAAGAAAAUGAGUUAAAGGAAUGAUAUGGAAAGAAAGUAAGUUAUAGACUAAGUGACCAUCAUGAUAUAAAAGUGUAACACGAAAAUUCACAAAGGUAUGUGGAUUGUCUGAUAUAAGAUGGAUUAAGAGUCAUAAAGUAAUAUCCUAUAAUGAUAAACAAAAGUAUAGAAAUAUGUGAAAGGAAAUGUGUUUGGCAAAAUGAUAAAUAUUGAUAUGAAAACAUAUGAAACUAUAAGGCAUUAUAUGAAUAAAACCAUAAAUGUGCGAAUGAGAAAAUGCGACGAAUAAGAAAUAAAUGAUAUGAUCUGAACAUGUGUGCCCCUAUAUGGAUUACAUGUGUACUUCGAAUCGGGCAAUAUGAGAUAUGACGUGAUGUGAUGGAAAUAUGAACUGAAUAAUCGUGCAAGACAAUAAAUUAUAUGAUUGGAAAUGUGAACUCCGUGAGAAUUAUGUGUGCGCUCGAAUACGAGCUAUAUAAAUGUUAGAACCGAAUGAUGAUUCAGAAAUGAAAUGGAAAAUGGGAAUGUAUGCUCUAAGCGAGCUGUAUAGUAUAUGAUAAGAUAUGUCUAAAAAUAUGAGUUUGAAAUUGAGCUAUAUGAUAUAAAAUGGUAUUCUGGUUGAAAGUGUUGUCUGUGAUCUGUAAAUGUGUUAGUUAUGGAUAAGAAUGAGUUUUGAAAAUAAAUAUGGUUGUUGAUGAAUACUGACUUGAUAUUUGAAUUAUGUUGUGAUUUGGUGGUUUGAUUUGAUAAUCUGUGAUUAACAUUGUAUCUUGUUGGUUUUGGGGAAGCACUGGUUAUAGAGAAAACGCUGCCCAAUUUUUGCUAGAAAUUGAUCAGAUAAAUUAAUACGAAGUUGUGGUAAAUAAACUGAUAAGUGAUAAUACAUGAAGAGAAUGAUGUUACAUGAUGACUUAAGAAAGGAAAAAGGGAAAAGAUAAGAAGUGUUGUGAAUGAUAAUAAAGGAAAACGUAAUGAAAUGAUGAUAUGUGGAAAGUGAAAUGCACCCUUCGUCGGCUAUAAGUGCCCGAAUAGGGACUAUGCAAUUGGGACUAUACAAUAUAUGAUGAGUAUGUGAAAUAUACAUAUGCGUGAUGAAUAUGAUAUGUGCGCCUCAUGUGGACAAAGAAAAGAUGCAAAUAACAUGGAAAUUACUAUGUAAAGAAAUGAUAAUGUGACAAAUGUGCUUGAAAUAUAUUAGAGAUAAUGAUAAUAUUAUUAUGUGAUCGCAAAAUGUUGCUAUGUGUUAAGAUGUGAUUAUGUGAUUUUGUAUGUCAUUCUGUGUUUGGUUAUGGAAGUGAGGAUACGCUAUGUAGAUGAGGAUAUAGGAUGUCGUGGAAUGGCAUACGUAUAUGCGACGCUUAUAGGAAUGAUGUAAACCCGAGGGAAUUUCGAGGACGAAAUUCCUUUUAGGGGGGAUGAGUUGUAACAUCCCGAAUUAUAGGCACCAAUAAAAGGUUUGGAUAUGUGGUGAGGAAUAGUAGUUAAGUUAAACCGUAAGGUAUAAAUUUGAUACGAAAUGCCGAUUAGUCAAUUUUCGGAAAUUUCUUUUGUCCGUGUAAAAUCAUAAAUCGAAGCUAAGGGGUAAUAAUUUUAUAAAUUACAAAUUAUGGCCUAGAAUAAUUGUUGAUAAUGUGAGGAAUUGUUUUGGGCCAUUUGAAGGUAAUUAAAAAAAUUUCUAUCGCCGAUAAUUUCAGUUUUUAACGAAAACGAUCGGCGAAACUUUUGAAGAUAUAGACAGGAAUAAUUUUGCCUUGAACUAGAAUUUAAAUGCUAAAUGAUGAUAUAAAGAGUUCCUAAAUGUGAUAUCAUAUGAUAGGGCAAUAAAAUGUUACAAGAUAAUUAAUUUAUUUAAAAACUAACUAAAUAAUUAAAUAAUGAUUAGAAUUCUCUAGAGAAUUCUUUUGUCUAUCAUCAACUCCAAACCCCCCCUCAUUUCAGCCACAAGCACGUCCUCCCCCUCUCCAUGGAAGACCAAAAGCUUAAGCUUUUUAAUUUCCAAAUAUUUGUCAUUUAAUCGGUAAAUCGAUCGGGUAAUCUUGUAUCCGCCAGCAAAUCGAGCGAAGGAGCAUAUAGUGCGUUUUGAUCACAAAGGAGUGGAUUUAGAGGGUAGAGAAGUAUCAAGGUGAAAUAGGCUUAUGUUCAUAAGCCUGCGAGGUUAGAGUCGACAUUAUGUCAGUGGUGUUGCGCAGCUUUGCAUCUUUGGCGAGUCACUGGUGGUCAACUUGGUUUAGUAGUCGUGGCAUGUUAUGUAAUAGUUUAAUCUUUAACCUUCCGCUGGAUAAAUGUUAAGUUUUUAAAUGUAAUAGAUUUUAAUUAUGCUUUUAAGCUAAAAAGAAAAAGGAAAAAUUUCAGCACGGGUUUUCGAUACUGAAACGUGACAUCACUUAUUCGGUGGGUUACCUACCGGGUAAGGGGUGUUACAAGUUUUGGUAUCAGAGCCUAGGUUUAGGCGGUUCUGGAAAGAAGUGAUUCAGUAAAGUGUGUAGAAACAUGCCACAUAGGUUUAAUUGUCUGUUAGUACCAGUGACUCGAUGCAGCUGCUUAUGUCUAAAGUGGAAAGAAGUUAACAAGGUACGGGACAUAGUUUCCCGUGUGACCGAGAAAGAUGUUAUAUGGGACUGGCCACCCCAUAUAGCUCUAAUCUCGGUAGCGUCGGUAUGUGUAAAAGAUUUUAAAAAAAAAAUUCAGGGAGGAUGGGUCUGAAAAUGUUGAUGAAAAGUAUGUCCUAAUGAAAGAUACUAAUAAAUAUAUGCAGAUUAUGAAAGAGUAUAAGUAAAAGAGAAGAAAAUGAGUUAAAGGAAUGAUAUGGAAAGAAAGUAAGUUAUAGACUAAGUGACCAUCAUGAUAUAAAAGUGUAACACGAAAAUUCACAAAGGUAUGUGGAUUGUCUGAUAUAAGAUGGAUUAAGAGUCAUAAAGUAAUAUCCUAUAAUGAUAAACAAAAGUAUAGAAAUAUGUGAAAGGAAAUGUGUUUGGCAAAAUGAUAAAUAUUGAUAUGAAAACAUAUGAAACUAUAAGGCAUUAUAUGAAUAAAACCAUAAAUGUGCGAAUGAGAAAAUGCGACGAAUAAGAAAUAAAUGAUAUGAUCUGAACAUGUGUGCCCCUAUAUGGAUUACAUGUGUACUUCGAAUCGGGCAAUAUGAGAUAUGACGUGAUGUGAUGGAAAUAUGAACUGAAUAAUCGUGCAAGACAAUAAAUUAUAUGAUUGGAAAUGUGAACUCCGUGAGAAUUAUGUGUGCGCUCGAAUACGAGCUAUAUAAAUGUUAGAACCGAAUGAUGAUUCAGAAAUGAAAUGGAAAAUGGGAAUGUAUGCUCUAAGCGAGCUGUAUAGUAUAUGAUAAGAUAUGUCUAAAAAUAUGAGUUUGAAAUUGAGCUAUAUGAUAUAAAAUGGUAUUCUGGUUGAAAGUGUUGUCUGUGAUCUGUAAAUGUGUUAGUUAUGGAUAAGAAUGAGUUUUGAAAAUAAAUAUGGUUGUUGAUGAAUACUGACUUGAUAUUUGAAUUAUGUUGUGAUUUGGUGGUUUGAUUUGAUAAUCUGUGAUUAACAUUGUAUCUUGUUGGUUUUGGGGAAGCACUGGUUAUAGAGAAAACGCUGCCCAAUUUUUGCUAGAAAUUGAUCAGAUAAAUUAAUACGAAGUUGUGGUAAAUAAACUGAUAAGUGAUAAUACAUGAAGAGAAUGAUGUUACAUGAUGACUUAAGAAAGGAAAAAGGGAAAAGAUAAGAAGUGUUGUGAAUGAUAAUAAAGGAAAACGUAAUGAAAUGAUGAUAUGUGGAAAGUGAAAUGCACCCUUCGUCGGCUAUAAGUGCCCGAAUAGGGACUAUGCAAUUGGGACUAUACAAUAUAUGAUGAGUAUGUGAAAUAUACAUAUGCGUGAUGAAUAUGAUAUGUGCGCCUCAUGUGGACAAAGAAAAGAUGCAAAUAACAUGGAAAUUACUAUGUAAAGAAAUGAUAAUGUGACAAAUGUGCUUGAAAUAUAUUAGAGAUAAUGAUAAUAUUAUUAUGUGAUCGCAAAAUGUUGCUAUGUGUUAAGAUGUGAUUAUGUGAUUUUGUAUGUCAUUCUGUGUUUGGUUAUGGAAGUGAGGAUACGCUAUGUAGAUGAGGAUAUAGGAUGUCGUGGAAUGGCAUACGUAUAUGCGACGCUUAUAGGAAUGAUGUAAACCCGAGGGAAUUUCGAGGACGAAAUUCCUUUUAGGGGGGAUGAGUUGUAACAUCCCGAAUUAUAGGCACCAAUAAAAGGUUUGGAUAUGUGGUGAGGAAUAAUAGUUAAGUUAAACCGUAAGGUAUAAAUUUGAUACGAAAUGCCGAUUAGUCAAUUUUCGGAAAUUUCUUUUGUCCGUGUAAAAUCAUAAAUCGAAGCUAAGGGGUAAUAAUUUUAUAAAUUACAAAUUAUGGCCUAGAAUAAUUGUUGAUAAUGUGAGGAAUUGUUUUGGGCCAUUUGAAGGUAAUUAAAAAAAUUUCUAUCGCCGAUAAUUUCAGUUUUUAACGAAAACGAUCGGCGAAACUUUUGAAGAUAUAGACAGGAAUAAUUUUGCCUUGAACUAGAAUUUAAAUGCUAAAUGAUGAUAUAAAGAGUUCCUAAAUGUGAUAUCAUAUGAUAGGGCAAUAAAAUGUUACAAGAUAAUUAAUUUAUUUAAAAACUAACUAAAUAAUUAAAUAAUGAUUAGAAUUCUCUAGAGAAUUCUUUUGUCUAUCAUCAACUCCAAACCCCCCCUCAUUUCAGCCACAAGCACGUCCUCCCCCUCUCCAUGGAAGACCAAAAGCUUAAGCUUUUUAAUUUCCAAAUAUUUGUCAUUUAAUCGGUAAAUCGAUCGGGUAAUCUUGUAUCCGCCAGCAAAUCGAGGUAGCCCUUUCUUCCUAUUCUAUUUUUAUACCUUGAACUUGAGUAUAUGUUGAUGUUGAAGGGCUGAAAUUUCAUUCACUCGGGGGUAGGAAAACUAACCGAUUAAAUUUCGAUAUAUUGACGUUUACGCGAUCAUAGGCCUUCAUUUGUCGUUGUUUGAUAUUUGAAUUAGAAGUUUGAUUACAUGGAUGUGAUUUUGGAUGAAUAUUGAACAGGGGGGGAGCUGAAUUGAUGAUAUUUUAUGUUGAACGGUCCCCGCUCGGGGUAAUUAACACGGAAGAAUAGUAUACGAAAAUAAAUGGUUAGAGUCGACAUUAUGUCAGUGGUGUUGCGCAGCUUUGCAUCUUUGGCGAGUCACUGGUGGUCAACUUGGUUUAGUAGUCGUGGCAUGUUAUGUAAUAGUUUAAUCUUUAACCUUCCGCUGGAUAAAUGUUAAGUUUUUAAAUGUAAUAGAUUUUAAUUAUGCUUUUAAGCUAAAAAGAAAAAGGAAAAAUUUCAGCA